GCUUGCUUUGGCAGCACACAUACUUAAAAAUUGGAAUAAUACAGAGAUUGGCAUGGAUCCUGUCCAAGAAUGCAACAAAAAUCCAGGAAGUGUUCCAUUUCUUU
Small nuclear RNA from Acomys russatus (golden spiny mouse), 104 nucleotides. NCBI's taxonomy places the organism in Eukaryota, Metazoa, Chordata, Mammalia, Rodentia, Muridae. The record is from RefSeq and is a predicted model, not a curated record.